This 1554-nucleotide ribosomal RNA is filed under the name Escherichia coli. RNAcentral describes it as "bacterial SSU rRNA". It matches the Rfam family "Bacterial small subunit ribosomal RNA". Lineage: Bacteria; Pseudomonadati; Pseudomonadota; Gammaproteobacteria; Enterobacterales; Enterobacteriaceae. The record is from RNAcentral.
AAAUUGAAGAGUUUGAUCAUGGCUCAGAUUGAACGCUGGCGGCAGGCCUAACACAUGCAAGUCGAACGGUAACAGGAAGAAGCUUGCUUCUUUGCUGACGAGUGGCGGACGGGUGAGUAAUGUCUGGGAAACUGCCUGAUGGAGGGGGAUAACUACUGGAAACGGUAGCUAAUACCGCAUAACGUCGCAAGACCAAAGAGGGGGACCUUCGGGCCUCUUGCCAUCGGAUGUGCCCAGAUGGGAUUAGCUAGUAGGUGGGGUAACGGCUCACCUAGGCGACGAUCCCUAGCUGGUCUGAGAGGAUGACCAGCCACACUGGAACUGAGACACGGUCCAGACUCCUACGGGAGGCAGCAGUGGGGAAUAUUGCACAAUGGGCGCAAGCCUGAUGCAGCCAUGCCGCGUGUAUGAAGAAGGCCUUCGGGUUGUAAAGUACUUUCAGCGGGGAGGAAGGGAGUAAAGUUAAUACCUUUGCUCAUUGACGUUACCCGCAGAAGAAGCACCGGCUAACUCCGUGCCAGCAGCCGCGGUAAUACGGAGGGUGCAAGCGUUAAUCGGAAUUACUGGGCGUAAAGCGCACGCAGGCGGUUUGUUAAGUCAGAUGUGAAAUCCCCGGGCUCAACCUGGGAACUGCAUCUGAUACUGGCAAGCUUGAGUCUCGUAGAGGGGGGUAGAAUUCCAGGUGUAGCGGUGAAAUGCGUAGAGAUCUGGAGGAAUACCGGUGGCGAAGGCGGCCCCCUGGACGAAGACUGACGCUCAGGUGCGAAAGCGUGGGGAGCAAACAGGAUUAGAUACCCUGGUAGUCCACGCCGUAAACGAUGUCGACUUGGAGGUUGUGCCCUUGAGGCGUGGCUUCCGGAGCUAACGCGUUAAGUCGACCGCCUGGGGAGUACGGCCGCAAGGUUAAAACUCAAAUGAAUUGACGGGGGCCCGCACAAGCGGUGGAGCAUGUGGUUUAAUUCGAUGCAACGCGAAGAACCUUACCUGGUCUUGACAUCCACGGAAGUUUUCAGAGAUGAGAAUGUGCCUUCGGGAACCGUGAGACAGGUGCUGCAUGGCUGUCGUCAGCUCGUGUUGUGAAAUGUUGGGUUAAGUCCCGCAACGAGCGCAACCCUUAUCCUUUGUUGCCAGCGGUCCGGCCGGGAACUCAAAGGAGACUGCCAGUGAUAAACUGGAGGAAGGUGGGGAUGACGUCAAGUCAUCAUGGCCCUUACGACCGUGGCUACACACGUGCUACAAUGGCGCAUACAAAGAGAAGCGACCUCGCGAGAGCAAGCGGACCUCAUAAAGUGCGUCGUAGUCCGGAUUGGAGUCUGCAACUCGACUCCAUGAAGUCGGAAUCGCUAGUAAUCGUGGAUCAGAAUGCCACGGUGAAUACGUUCCCGGGCCUUGUACACACCGCCCGUCACACCAUGGGAGUGGGUUGCAAAAGAAGUAGGUAGCUUAACCUUCGGGAGGGCGCUUACCACUUUGUGAUUCAUGACUGGGGUGAAGUCGUAACAAGGUAACCGUAGGGGAACCUGCGGUUGGAUCACCUCCUUACCUUAAAGAAGC